GUUGGUUGAAAACCACUUGCGGCUUUGGCUGUGGCAUGGGUGAGAUGCGGUGCCCCGAGCCGCCAGGGGCCUUAGCUCACCACCUACCCUUGGUGUGGUGAGGUGAAACCCAGCCCCAAAACAC
Molecule: small nucleolar RNA, 124 nt
Organism: Equus asinus (donkey)
Lineage: Eukaryota; Metazoa; Chordata; Mammalia; Perissodactyla; Equidae
Source: Ensembl